GAUGAACGCUGGCGGCGUGCCUAAUACAUGCAAGUCGAGCGAACAGACGAUGAGCUUGCUCCUCUGACGUUCGCGUCGGACGGGUGCGUAACACGUGGAUAACCUACCUAUACUACUUGGAUACCUUCGGGAAACCGUAGCUAAUACCGGAUAAUAUAUUUAACCGCAUGGUUCAAUAUUUAAAGACUGUUUUUCUGUCACUUAUAUAUGGAUCCGCGCCGCAUUAACUAUUUGGUAAGGUAACUUCUUACCAAGCCCACGAUGCGUAGCCGACCUGAGAGGGAGAUCGGCCACACUGGAACUGAGACAAGGUCCAGACUACUAAGAAAGGCAGCAGUAGGGAAUCUUCAGAAAUGGGCGAAAGCCUGACGGAGAAACGCCGCGUGAGUGAUGAAGGGCUUCGGAUAGUAAAAAUCAGUUAUUGGGGAAGAAGAAAUGUGUAAGUAACUAUGCACGACUUGAAGGUACCUAAUCAGAAAGCCACGGCUAACUACGUG
RNAcentral lists this ribosomal RNA (497 nucleotides) under uncultured bacterium. RNAcentral describes it as "partial 16S ribosomal RNA". It matches the Rfam family "Bacterial small subunit ribosomal RNA", at positions 28 to 507 of the family's 1533-position model. The record is from RNAcentral.